Molecule: ribosomal RNA, 497 nt
Filed under: uncultured bacterium
Lineage: Bacteria
Description: partial 16S ribosomal RNA
Rfam family: Bacterial small subunit ribosomal RNA
Source: RNAcentral
GAUGAACGCUGGCGGCGUGCCUAAUACAUGCAAGUCGAGCGAACGGACGAGAAGCUUGCUUCUCUGAUGUUAGCGGCGGACGGGUGAGUAACACGUGGAUAACCUACCUAUAAGACUGGGAUAACUUCGGGAAACCGGAGCUAAUACCGGAUAAUAUUUUGAACCGCAUGGUUCAAAAGUGAAAGACGGUCUUGCUGUCACUUAUAGAUGGAUCCGCGCUGCAUUAGCUAGUUGGUAAGGUAACGGCUUACCAAGGCAACGAUGCAUAGCCGACCUGAGAGGGGGAUCGGCCACACUGGAACUUAGACACGGUCCAGACUCCUACGGGAGGCAGCAGUAGGGAAUCUUCCGCAAUGGGCGAAAGCCUGACGGAGCAACGCCGCGUGAGUGAUGAAGGUCUUCGGAUCGUAAAACUCUGUUAUUAGGGAAGAACAUAUGUGUAAGUAACCGUGCACAUCUUGACGGUACCUAAUCAGAAAGCCACGGCUAACUACGUG